This 584-nucleotide ribosomal RNA is filed under the name uncultured Collimonas sp. Its description in RNAcentral is "bacterial SSU rRNA". It matches the Rfam family "Bacterial small subunit ribosomal RNA", at positions 102 to 682 of the family's 1533-position model. The record is from RNAcentral. Lineage: Bacteria; Pseudomonadati; Pseudomonadota; Betaproteobacteria; Burkholderiales; Oxalobacteraceae.
ACGGGUGAGUAAUAUAUCGGAACGUACCUUUGAGUGGGGGAUAACUAGUCGAAAGAUUAGCUAAUACCGCAUACGAUCUACGGAUGAAAGUGGGGGAUCGCAAGACCUCAUGCUCAUAGAGCGGCCGAUAUCUGAUUAGCUAGUUGGUGAGGUAAAGGCUCACCAAGGCUUCGAUCAGUAGCUGGUCUGAGAGGACGACCAGCCACACUGGGACUGAGACACGGCCCAGACUCCUACGGGAGGCAGCAGUGGGGAAUUUUGGACAAUGGGGGCAACCCUGAUCCAGCAAUGCCGCGUGAGUGAAGAAGGCCUUCGGGUUGUAAAGCUCUUUUGUCAGGGAAGAAACGGGGGUUCCUAAUACGGGCCCCUAAUGACGGUACCUGAAGAAUAAGCACCGGCUAACUACGUGCCAGCAGCCGCGGUAAUACGUAGGGUGCAAGCGUUAAUCGGAAUUACUGGGCGUAAAGCGUGCGCAGGCGGUUAUGUAAGACAGGUGUGAAAUCCCCGGGCUUAACCUGGGAAUGGCAUUUGUGACUGCAUAGCUAGAGUGUGUCAGAGGGGGGUAGAAUUCCACGUGUAGCAGU